GAAGGAUCAUUAAAGAGUAAGGGUGCUCAGCGCCCGACCUCCAACCCUCUGUCGUUAAAACUACCUUGUUGCUUUGGCGGGACCGCUCGGUCUCGAGCCGCCGGGGAUUCGUCCCAGGCGAGCGCCCGCCAGAGUUAAACCAAACUCUUGUUAAACAAACCGGUCGUCUGAGUAAAAUUUUUGAAUAAAUCAAAACUUUCAACAACGGAUCUCUUGGUUCUCGCAUCGAUGAAGAACGCAGCGAAAUGCGAUAAGUAAUGUGAAUUGCAGAAUUCAGUGAAUCAUCGAAUCUUUGAACGCACAUUGCGCCCCUUGGUAUUCCGAGGGGCAUGCCUGUUCGAGCGUCAUUACACCACUCAAGCACAGCUUGGUAUUGGGCGUCCGUCCCUUCGGGGGCGCGCCUCAAAGACCUCGGCGAGGCCUCACCGGCUUUAGGCGUAGUAGAAUUUAUUCGAACGUCUUUCAACGGAGGGGACUUCUGCCGACUGAAGCCUUUAAUUUUUCUAAGGUUGACCUCGGAUCAGGUAGGGAUACCCGCUGAACUUAA
Molecule: ribosomal RNA, 547 nt
Filed under: Ascomycota sp. 2 PV-2016
Lineage: Eukaryota; Fungi; Ascomycota
Description: eukaryotic LSU rRNA
Rfam family: 5.8S ribosomal RNA (bases 194-347)
Source: RNAcentral